Nannospalax galili (Upper Galilee mountains blind mole rat) is the source of this 268-nucleotide long non-coding RNA. RefSeq lists it as uncharacterized. NCBI's taxonomy places the organism in Eukaryota, Metazoa, Chordata, Mammalia, Rodentia, Spalacidae. The record is from RefSeq and is a predicted model, not a curated record. The transcript has 3 exons.
AGUUUUCACCAUUACAAACAGUGCACCUUGUGUUCCAUAUGUUGAAUCUAGAAGGCAAAUUUCUUGUUCAUAAGAUAGCCAAACCAUAAGACAGAAAACUAGAAACAUGAAAGAGCAAGGCAAUAUGAUUCCUCUAAAAGUCUAGUGUGGGAGAUGCCUUAGAGCUCAAGGUCGUGCAAGGAUCUGCUGGCGAUGAGCUAGUGCUGGCUGGAGGCACAGGGACAGGAGGUGGAGGCGGUCGUCUGGACGGCAACACGCAGAAAGAAAC